Molecule: transfer RNA, 67 nt
Filed under: Cryptorhynchinae sp. 7 ACP-2013
Lineage: Eukaryota; Metazoa; Arthropoda; Insecta; Coleoptera; Curculionidae
Description: tRNA-Phe
Rfam family: tRNA
About the family: Transfer RNA (tRNA) molecules are approximately 80 nucleotides in length. Their secondary structure includes four short double-helical elements and three loops (D, anti-codon, and T loops).
Source: RNAcentral
AAUCUAAAUAGCUUAAACUUAGAGCAAAGCAUUGAAGAUGCUAGUGUAAUAUAUAAUAUUUUUAGAU